UUGGAUCUACUCAGAUCAGGCUUUUCUCCUUAUCAUUCCACAAAGUUAUUCUUAUCCAGGUCACCAGUGGCUUCCUACUUUGUCACAUCCAGUAGUCCAUCUUCAGUCCUUGUUUUAUUGUCCACAUAGCGGCAUUUAAGGGAAGAUCACGCCUUCCUUCUUGAGAUGCUUUCUUUAUGUGGCUUCCCAGAUACUGCUAUUUCCUCCUUCUUUUCAGCAUCCUUUUCUGGUCCCUCCUCAUCUUCAUGACCUUGAAACAUUACAGGGCUUUUUUUUUUUUUUUCCCCCCUCAGGGCUCACCUUUUCCACCUCCUCUCUUUCUAUCUCUACUUCCCUGAGUGACCCCAUCUGUUGGAGGGCGGAGGGAAUGAAGUGUCCAUCGAACUGAGAGUGUAUCUUGAAACUGAGAAACGAAGCAGGCAGCUCCAUGUAAUCAAUGGAUCCAUUUAUAAUAGGGUAAUUUACUCACAGGGUGAAAUCAGGAUCAGGUGGACAGCACUCCAGAAGCAUUCACAGCCACUUUCUGUAUCACCAAGGGGUUAUUGGGAUAAUUUUAUGGCUAAACUUAGAGUGUGGAAGUAGCUGCUUGGAAAUAAGAUACACAUUCCUAAGUCAAGGUUUAUGAUGGGUAACUAAUCCUUAACUCACUGUACCAGGCUAGGGAUUGAACCUGUGUCCCAGUGCUCCCAAGAUGCUUCUGAUCCCACUGCACCACAGUGGGAAUACCAUAGGUCCUAUUUUUUGCAAAAUAUUUUUGGGAAAUGCUAGAACAGACUCUUAUUUGUAAUAAGCCAUGUUUGAGGGUGAGGUAGAUAGGGUGGAUGUUAUAUAACCUGAGUCUUUUUCCCUUGACUAAGAAAACAUUUCAGUGUGUAGGAAAACUGUUUAUCCAAAAGACCUGAAUUUAUCCCAAGGGUGUGCUCGGAUAACUCAUUAGCUAUGAUCUGGCUAAUUAUUUCUUCUUUGAUUUUGAAAAGUGUUUUUACCUUUGAGUGUUUUUGCAUAGUUUUAUAUUUAUAAGCAAAGUGUGGAAUGACUUGGAAGCAGUUCCUCCUAGGGCUGUUCACCUAGUUCAGACUUGUCUUUUCUCUGCUUUCGUCUCAGUUCCCCGGAUGAUUGCUGCUGUGCCCUUUGGGAUUUCAGCAUCGUGCAGGAAGCCCCUAGGCAGCCUCUGUCAUGUUCUAGCACCAGACCUACCUUGACUCUGUCAGAAGCAGCUCUGAGUGGGCAGGGGGUGUUUCUGUUUUGUUUACCAUUGUAGAUCCCAUUACCUGGCACCAUGCUGUUCCCAUAAUAGGGGACCAAUUAACCUUUGUUGCACAAACCUUUGAAAAGUAGCAUAUUCACUUGACCCUGCCUCAUGAUGACUUAUAUUUAGGACUCAGCUUUAAUGAAUUUUCUUUGAAACUAUGAUUACAAAUGCAUUCCCAAUGGGUUUCAUAAAUAGAACAUGUUUCGUGUAUUAUUUUGUCCGCUGUAAAACUGCUGAGAUUCUGAAUGGAAACCCAAGUACCUUUUCCUCCUGUUUCCAUAAUCUCAGCUCACAAACCAUAAUAUGGACAUUCUUGGAAAGAUUCUUUAGGUGGUUUGAAUAAUUCGUAGUAAACGGAUUUGACAAAAAGAUUCCAUUUGGGUGAUUUGAAGGCCACCAUAAUGUUUAAAGCAGCUCGUGUGAUGGGCAUUUCCAGAGGAAGCUUGCUCUGAGGAACAACCCAUGUCAUCUUUUGAUUUUUGAAAAGGUAGAAGGAGUGAUGUCAGUCCACAGUGGGAGUGGUGGUUUGAUGUUUGAUUUCUUAGUAAGGGUCAGCAGAAAAGCCGUGUUCUUUCUGAAAAUUGGAAAAAUAAAAGGUUACUUGGAAAAGCCCAAGAUGGUUGUCUCGUAGCCUGCUCUCUUAAGCACAAAGUGAUGUGCCCGUCCCUCUUAGCUUUUCCGAGGGUGUCCUCUGAUUUGCACAGUAAGAAGAACUGCAUUGUUUCUGGCUAAUUAACGCUGAGUGCUAAUGUCUGAGUAUUGGUGUCUUGACUUGCUCUAAUUAAGUUCAGCAAAUUCAAAGGCCACCUGAAUAGGGAUGGGAUGGACAUUUGCUUUAGGAAGAGGUGAUAAAACCAAAGGUGAGGAAGCCAGUAGGGCUAUAAUUUAGACCCUGACAUCAGUUAUGUUUUUGUAGUUCUUCGUGGAUAUCACCAUAGUUACAGGGUCUCUGGAAAUCACACAUAUAUUCCAGCAAGAAAAAUGAAGGGACUUGUGGCUGCAGGUGAAAUAACCUAAAUCUUUUAUCGUCCUGUAGCUUUUGGAAAAAACCUUUUGCUUCUACACAUGUUAUGGUUCUUUUAAAAAGGCUCAGAGGACUGGGAUAUUAAAUGUCUAUUGGUCAAAGAUAAUAUUUAUUGAGGUCUUACAACGUGCCAGUCUCUGUCUUAAGAUUAUUGUCUUAAUUCUAAAGUAAACCUGAGGUGGUGCAUUAGUCUUGGGUCUCCAGAGAAAUGGAACCAAUAGGAUGUGGAUCUGUUCGACACUACAGUAUAAUUUCUAUCCUCUAUCCAUAUCCAUAUCUUUAUCUCUAUACCCAUACCUGGAGAGAUUUAUUAUAAGGAGGUGGCCCACACCCAACUAGGGAGGCUGAGAAGCCCAAGAUCUGGCAAGUUGGCAAGCUGGAGACCCAGAAGAGUAGAUGGCGUACGAUUCCAGGCUGAGUCUGGGGAAGGCAAGAGAAUACCAGUAUCCCAUUCGGUCAAGAGCAAAUUCUUUCUUGCUCAGCCUUUUACUCUAUUCAGGCCUUCAACCAGUGGGCUGAGGCCCACCCACCUUGCAGAGGGCAAUCUUCUUAAGCCAGUCUGCCAAUUCAGAUGUUCGCCUUAUGCAGAAGCACCUCCACGGACACACACAGGGUGAUGUUUAACCAUCUAUCUGGGAACCCCACAUGUCAAGCUGACAUUUAUUUUAUUUAUUUAUUUAUUUUUUCAAGCUGACAUUUAGAAUUAACCAACACCGGCAGGUCCUGUUUUAAUCCUUUGUAGAGAUGAAGAAGUGGAGGUGUAGCAUGGCUGAGUAACUUGUCCAAGGUCACACGCUGCUAAUGGUGGAGGCAGAGCACAAACCCAGGCAUUCUGGCUCCCCAAAUCCUCACUUGAAUGGGUACAACAAACUGUCUUUCAGAGGAGGAGACUGAGAAGGGGGAGGAAGGCUAGGAAAGGGGGGAGCAAGAGAGUCCAGUAUUGUGCCUAAGCACAGCUGACUAGUUAGAGGCUGAGCUGGGAUUUGAACCCACGUCUCUUGACUUGAGACUCAGCCCCUGGGAAGUCCUUCAACUCCAAUAUGGCAUACCCUCUGUAUAACAGACAUUUUGCUUGUGAAAGGCAAAAAGUUAACUUCUGGUUAUACCCCCUGAGUUGUUGACUGAAGCACUCUGUACAGUAGUUCUGGCUGUCUCACCUUAUCAGCAUUGUGGUUUGUGUCUAUAAUAUUUCAGUCCUAAAAUAUUCUCAGAUGAGUUGGCUUGCAUGGACGAGUAUGGUAAUUAUUUUAAUAACACCACCUUCCAUUUUAAAGCGCUUCAAACUUUUUAGAGCACUCCCAUAUAUACACAUUAUUUUAAAAACGGAUUAGCUCGACAGAGUAGAUUUACUCUGGCGUUGUGACCUUUUGUGGCCGUGAAUGGAGAAAAGGCUUUUACCUCUUCUUAGCCAAGAGUAGAAGAGAAAAAAAUGAGUUAUGAGAAGAUGCUGGAAGAGAAAAGAGUGUUUAUUUAAGCAGCAUGAUCAUUGGCAGGCAGCUCUGAUGGAGAUGUAGAGUCAUAGAAACCAUGGGCCUUGAAGCCAGGCAGUUCUGGGUUUUAAUCGUGGGUCAACCACCUACACGUUGUAUUACCUCUUUGGACCUUUUCUUCUUUGUAAGAUGGGAAUGAUGCUUUGUCCUUUACAGGAUGGUUGUAAGGACAAGAAGUACUUGUCUAGGGAAUGGCACAUAGCAAGCCAUUGAUAAAUAAGAGCCAUUACAAUUCCCCCACCUUCUACUGGUAAGGCUCACUUUUACCAGCCGGGGGAAGAUCUUCAUCCUGCCUGCUCUUUCUCUCCUGUGGGGACCAUAUCUGACCUGUCCCUGCAGUGGGGCCGCUGCGGAGUCAUCCUGCUGCUCCAGGCCAGGUGUGGUUAGAGACCACCUGUCUCUUACCUGCUAUGUAUGUGUCCAGACUGGAUAAGGGGGCCUCUGCCCUCGUUCCAGGUUUGCAUUGUGCAUCCCUUCGGAGCCCAGCUUGCCUGGCCGGCCCACUACCACCUGCCCUACCCCUCUCCAUCCCUAUCCAGGCCUCUUUCCCCUGAGCUGUCUCUGUCCCUGCUGUACCACUGUUGGCUAACUGUUGGGGUCAAACUCGGCAGAUUAUUUUUUUCCUUCCUUAAUUUUUGUUUGAACAAAGAAUUGUUUCACAUAGGCAUUCCUGUGGUGGCUCAGUGGUUAACGAAUCCAACUAGGGACCAUGAGAUUGCGGGUUCGAUCCCUGGCCUUGCUCAGUGGGUUAAGGAUCCGGUGUUGCCGUGAGCUGUGGUAUAGGUCACAGACGCGGCUCGGAUCUCACAUUGCUGUGGCUGUGGCGUAGGCUGUGGUGUAGGGUCCAAUUGGACCCCUAGUCUUGGAACCUCCAUAUGCCGCAGGUGCAGCCC
Molecule: long non-coding RNA, 4659 nt
Filed under: Sus scrofa (pig)
Lineage: Eukaryota; Metazoa; Chordata; Mammalia; Artiodactyla; Suidae
Description: lncRNA (ENSSSCG00065026603.1)
Source: RNAcentral